This 449-nucleotide small RNA is filed under the name Pongo abelii (Sumatran orangutan). RNAcentral describes it as "processed transcript". Lineage: Eukaryota; Metazoa; Chordata; Mammalia; Primates; Hominidae. The record is from RNAcentral.
AACACUUGGUUCUUGUCCCUGAAAAACUCUCAGUCUGUUAGAAGAUAUAGAAAUACAAGGAUAAAUUACUAGUAUGUCCUGGUAAUUGAAAAUACUAAGGCAAGCUUAGUGGAAUAGUGAAGAACAAAUGAUAAAUCGUGUCUCAGGAAGUAGAGGCUCCAGGAAAGGUAUAAAAAGGUUACAUUUGAUAGGCUGGGUUUUAAAGGCUUUCAGCUUCCUUGUCUGUAAUACAAGAAAAAACUGUUGUCAAGUGAGAAAAUCCAUGUGAAAAUGCUUUGUGAAGUGUGUAAAUACUAGCUUUGAAGAUCACACAUUCAAAGUAAACAAAUAUGGAGAUACUUGGGAUGAGUGAAAAAUUACAUCAUUGGACGUGAAGGAGUUUCAACAUCCAGCUUCAUCUAGGUGGUCGUGAUUACCUGCAUGCUUUGAGCUCAGCAGCAGUCUUCAUA